Molecule: ribosomal RNA, 465 nt
Filed under: uncultured bacterium
Lineage: Bacteria
Description: partial 16S ribosomal RNA
Rfam family: Bacterial small subunit ribosomal RNA
Source: RNAcentral
GAUGAACGCUGGCGGCGUGCUUAACACAUGCAAGUCGAACGGAAAGGCUCCUGCUUGCAGGGGUACUCGAGUGGCGAACGGGUGAGUAACACGUGGGUGAUCUGCCCUGCACUUCGGGAUAAGCCUGGGAAACUGGGUCUAAUACCGGAUAGGACGAUGGUUUGGAUGCCAUUGUGGAAAGUUUUUUCGGUGUGGGAUGAGCUCGCGGCCUAUCAGCUUGUUGGUGGGUAAUGGCCUACCAAGGCGUCGACGGGUAGCCGGCCUGAGAGGGUGUACGGCCACAUUGGGACUGAGAUACGGCCCAGACUCCUACGGGAGGCAGAAGUGGGGAAUAUUGCACAAUGGGCGCAAGCCUGAUGCAGCGACGCCGCGUGGGGGAUGACGGCCUUCGGGUUGUAAACUCCUUUCGCUAGGGACGAAGCGCAAGUGACGGUACCUGGAGAAGAAGCACCGGCUAACUACGUG